This 509-nucleotide long non-coding RNA is filed under the name Bos taurus (domestic cattle). Its description in RNAcentral is "long non-coding RNA NONBTAT022044". Lineage: Eukaryota; Metazoa; Chordata; Mammalia; Artiodactyla; Bovidae. The record is from RNAcentral.
CUGGGUACUUGUAUGAGAAGUAGAUCCAAAGGACUAGCAGUGAUAGAGGUAUUUUGGUUCUGAUUUACCAACAUACCCUAUUAAUAUAUUAUUUUCUUUAAUAUGGGGUAGUAUGCUUAUUCCUUUAGUCACCAAUAGAUUUUAUUAGUGGCAGAUGCUAUAAUUUCUGUAGUACCAUAUGUAUAUCUCAAUGAUCUAUAUAUGUAUGUAUAUAUCAUGAUUUUUGAUUAAUACUUUUAUUUUUUUCUAAUAUGGAUUUUGGGAUAUUGAUAGUGCUUAUUCUUAUUGCUGGGUAUCUCGAAUAUUAAUUCAAUAGGAGUUUUUUCAUCCCUUCUGUAUCUGUAGUUUAGAGUUCUUACUGCCUCCCAGAGUGCUUUAGUCCAAGCGUUUAUAUCUAGAUUGCUAGUAAUCAACCUAAGAUUUGCUUGGGCAAGUCAUCUUACCUUUCAAUUCAUCCAGAAGCAAUUGGGUUGUAACAUAAGUGAAAGUUCUACAUUGUGCUCUGUUUC